This 421-nucleotide ribosomal RNA is filed under the name uncultured bacterium. RNAcentral's name for it is "partial 16S ribosomal RNA". It matches the Rfam family "Bacterial small subunit ribosomal RNA", at positions 355 to 767 of the family's 1533-position model. The record is from RNAcentral.
UGGGGAAUAUUGCACAAUGGGCGCAAGCCUGAUGCAGCCAUGCCGCGUGUGUGAAGAAGGCCUUCGGGUUGUAAAGCACUUUCAGCGAGGAGGAAGGGUAGUGUGUUAAUAGCACAUUGCAUUGACGUUACUCGCAGAAGAAGCACCGGCUAACUCCGUGCCAGCAGCCGCGGUAAUACGGAGGGUGCAAGCGUUAAUCGGAAUUACUGGGCGUAAAGCGCACGCAGGCGGUUUGUUAAGUCAGAUGUGAAAUCCCCGCGCUUAACGUGGGAACUGCAUUUGAAACUGGCAAGCUAGAGUCUUGUAGAGGGGGGUAGAAUUCCAGGUGUAGCGGUGAAAUGCGUAGAGAUCUGGAGGAAUACCGGUGGCGAAGGCGGCCCCCCUGGACAAAGACUGACGCUCAGGUGCGAAAGCGUGGGGA